GAUGAACGCUGGCGGCGUGCCUAAUACAUGCAAGUCGAGCGAACAGACGAGGAGCUUGCUCCUCUGACGUUAGCGGCGGACGGGUGAGUAACACGUGGAUAACCUACCUAUAAGACUGGGAUAACUUCGGGAAACCGGAGCUAAUACCGGAUAAUAUAUUGAACCGCAUGGUUCAAUAGUGAAAGACGGUUUUGCUGUCACUUAUAGAUGGAUCCGCGCCGCAUUAGCUAGUUGGUAAGGUAACGGCUUACCAAGGCAACGAUGCGUAGCCGACCUGAGAGGGUGAUCGGCCACACUGGAACUGAGACACGGUCAAGAAUCCUACGGGAGGCAGCAGUAGGGAAUCUUCCGCAAUGGGCGAAAGCCUGACGGAGCAACGCCGCGUGAGUGAUGAAGGUCUUCGGAUCGUAAAACUCUGUUAUUAGGGAAGAACAAAUGUGUAAGUAAAUAUGCACGUCUUGACGGUACCUAAUCAGAAAGCCACGGCUAACUACGUG
Molecule: ribosomal RNA, 497 nt
Filed under: uncultured bacterium
Lineage: Bacteria
Description: partial 16S ribosomal RNA
Rfam family: Bacterial small subunit ribosomal RNA
Source: RNAcentral